Molecule: non-coding RNA, 657 nt
Organism: Coffea arabica (coffee)
Lineage: Eukaryota; Viridiplantae; Streptophyta; Magnoliopsida; Gentianales; Rubiaceae
Source: RefSeq, a predicted model, not a curated record
GAAAGGAGGUGAAUACACAUCAGAACUUUAAUACUGUAAAGCCUGAUUAAUCCACAACUGAUGAAGGGGGAAGUCUAUAUUCUAAAGGUCGUUUUUAUUUAUUCAGAGAUCAUGCAUUGCCCUCCCUUUCUUUUCUUUUUUGAGGCGUGUAAUACUUGUGGCCAUAGAUAGGAUUCAAGGAGCAUUGGACAUUAGCAAAUCAAGUACUUUGAAGCUUAGGCACCUUUGUUAGAUUUAGGUCAAGUUUCCCUCCUAAUGUAAAAUCAGGAUACUGGGAAGAAAACUUUUCCCACUAACCUUCUCAAUCUUGCAAGGAGAGAACAAUUCCUUGGUGGUUAUAGGUUGUAAGGUUAGAAGGAGAGUAUAAUACAUUUCACCCAAUCUAAGCUUGUCACAGCAAGUAGAAUAUAGAAAAUCGUUAUGUUUAACCUCAAACAGAUAGAACGUAAGAAGGUAAACAACAAAAGAGAAAAAGCAUUUGACUAAAAGAAUUUAGAAAUAUAGGCACACCCAUGCAAGAGAAGCUUCAAAUAUUGUUCCAACUGUCCAGAAACUUGAGAAAAUCAUCAUCCAAGAACCUCUGUUUGAAGUAGGGACAAACUCUAAGAACCAUGAUGUAAAUAAGUAUCCAGCUGCUAAACCAAUCCCAGCAAAAAA